CUUGCGGCCAUAUCAUGUUGAAACACAGGUUUCCCUACGAUCACCCAAGGUAAGCAACAUCGGACGGGGUUCGCACCUAGAUAACUGACCGCUUGGGAAUACCAGGUGCUGUAAG
Non-coding RNA from Acanthosepion pharaonis, 115 nucleotides. The record is from the annotation of a GenBank genome assembly. NCBI's taxonomy places the organism in Eukaryota, Metazoa, Mollusca, Cephalopoda, Sepiida, Sepiidae.